AUCCAGCUGACGAGUCCCAAAUAGGACGAGAAUCGCGUUCUGGAU
Molecule: non-coding RNA, 45 nt
Filed under: Schistosoma mattheei
Lineage: Eukaryota; Metazoa; Platyhelminthes; Trematoda; Strigeidida; Schistosomatidae
Source: RNAcentral